AUUGAAUAUUUAGCCAAUUAUGAAGCUAAAUUAGAACUAAUUGCACUUAUUUGCGCGAAUUGAUGCAAUUUCGGGAUUAUUUCUUCGCAGCAGGUCUUCGAGCCUCGUUGAGCUGAACUUGUACUCUUAGAAGUUGGUUUGGAAGGUAUUCUAACCUGAGCGGGAGUUCGACUGACCUUUGGGUCAUCCUUGGUUGGCUUUGGGAAGCCUUUAGAGACUUAAUUGAAGCAGCAUUGGGGCUUCGUUGAGCCGUUUGUGGGACUUCUUGUGGAUAGUUGGAGCCUCAUACUAGAGCCUGUUACAGGAGAGGCUAGGGAUCGUGGCAAGGGAG
Molecule: long non-coding RNA, 331 nt
Organism: Ananas comosus (pineapple)
Lineage: Eukaryota; Viridiplantae; Streptophyta; Magnoliopsida; Poales; Bromeliaceae
Exons: 4
Source: RefSeq, a predicted model, not a curated record